GAUUAAAUAUAUCAUUUUUUUUCUUUGAAAUAUCCUCUCUCCUUUUUCCAUUGUUUUCUUUCUUUUUUUAGGGGAACUAUAAUAGCUGAUCUUUUUCACUUAGCUUUUUUUUUUUUUUUUUUUUGUGAGAUCAUUUUUUCGCUUAGCUUUGAUUGAGGGUCUUCUUUACUUUUUGCCGACAUUCUUUUCAUCGACCUGACAGUCCGAGACACAUUCAAAACAUUAGAAUAUCACGAGCUUAAAAAGCUGAAUAAAUACGUGGUUAAUUAACUAAUAUUAGGAACAAAUUUGGAAGAUAUACUACUAUAUGUUUAAGAUCACAUGGAGAUAGGUUGUUCCAGCAAGAAUUCAGAUUCUAUUGCUUUAAUAUAAGCUGAUUUAUGGAGUGUUGAUCCCAAUAUGUCUUAUUAUUAGGCACAACGGGUCGGAAUCAUGCAAGGAAUAUGUGCUUAGAAUAGAUCUAAAGUUCACUACGUACAAAAUUUUCUGCCAUAUAUUUUCUUAUUUUUAGGAGACAUAUUACAUAUAUAUACAUAAAUAAAGAUCUAAAUAAAUAUCUCUUACUUCAUUGUCAGGGUGAAUUUCUUGUCAUUAUCUACUUAUGAUUACUAUAUCAUGCUAUUGUAUAGUCCUACGUGGAAAAGAGAACAAACUUACGGGACAAAUUUAUGGAGUUAAAAUAGUCUUCGUACUGGAAAAAUAAAAAAGUUGUUAAAGAUAUUAAAAUAGUCACCUUUGAUUCAGAGCAACGUUUUGUCCUUAAUUGAAGAAUUUAAAAUUAAAUUCGUGAGUUUAGAAGUCGAUGAUUAUAAAAUAAAGUUAGUUUUAUGACAAAUAUUCACGAUCAAUAUGGGUUCUGGAUUGUUCUUUAAAUUGGGCAAUUCACGAUAAAAGCCAAUUAUUAUUGUGAAUUGUCGUGUUUAAGGAAUAAUUUACGAUUUAAAAGUUGAAUAUGGUUCAUAAUUUCUAUUUUAAAAUAUCAAUUAUAAUAAAAUAUUUCAGUAUUGACAUGAUUUUUGAUAAGUAGCGAUACUAAUAAAUAUAUCUAGCUACAUAAAAUUGUAAUAUAUAUAUAUAUAUAUAUAUAUAUAUAAUUACAGUUGGAUGGCUAUCAUGCGUGUCACAAAAAUAAAAAUAUGUAACCAAAUUUAGUGAUAUUUAAAGGUGUAACUAAUUUUUCGAUAUAUAAAAAUAUAGUUAUUUUUGUGGCGUGAUAAUUACUAAACUUUUGAUUUUAUCUGAUUUUGCUACUAAUCCAAUUCCGGCCUGACGUAGUGUAUUUAUUCUUGCAUGGCAAUUAGUUGACAAAAUAAUAUUUUUAUUUAAUUUCUUAUCAAUAAAAAAAGAAUACAAAGCAAAUAACCCAAAUUGUUUGAAUAAAUUCAACAAUAGUAAGAAAAUUCUUCGAAUUUAGGUGUGACAAUCAAAGAACAUUUUAAUUAUCAAUAACUUAAUAUAUCAAAUCAAAUUAGAAAAAGAAAAAAAACACAAAGCAAAUAACCCAAAUUUGCUUUAUUCGAAAUUUGGAAAAAUGAUAUUAGAUGUUAAUUUGUGAAAAAAUAAUGAUAAGUGACUAACCAGAAUAAUUUAAUAAAAUUUGUAUACAAAAUCAGAAAUUGAUAAAAGUUCAAUAUUUUAUAGGCAACUAAUUGCCACGCAAGAAUAAAUACGUUACGUCAAAUAUUGACACACCAUGUCAGCCCAGAAUUUGGAUUAAUAACAAAAACAGAUAAAAUCAAAAGUUUAAUAAUCACGCCACAGUUUAAAGUUUGUAUGCAAAACUAGAAUUGGAUGAAAAUUUAUUAUUUUAUGGGCAAUUAACCCUAAUAUUUACGUGUGUGUAUUAUAAUAAUAAUAAUAAUAAUAAUGUGAGUGAGUGAGUGACACAUUGAGAGAGAGAGAGAGAGAGAGAGAGAGAGAGAGAGAUAAAGAGAAUAUUGUGAUCUAUGUGUAAUAAAAAUAUUUUGUGAUAGUUUUAGAUAUGUCAUAAAAUCUGUUAUAGGGAUAGAUGUCACAAAACUUGUUAAGUACAUUUUUAAAUACAUACAUAUUCUGUCAUUUUUACGGAUAGAUGUCCGUAAAAAUCUGUCAUUUUCUCUUUUAAGACAUGAUUACACACAUUUUCCUUAUGAAUACAAAUUGUUUUUAAUAUGAAUGAAAUGAUGUCGUCCCAUUUUCUUAUGAUUAUUCAAAAUGUUAAAACAUUUUUAAAUUUUCACAUGUACUUUUUUUAUUUUUUUGAAUUAGAAUUAUAAGAUGAUCUUUGGAAUUAAAUAUAAUUAAAUAAGCAAUUCGUAUGCAUACAGGAUCUCUAUAUCAUACAAAGAUGAAAAAAAAUAAUUGUACACAAAUAAAAUCAUUACUUACAUAAAAUUGAAAAAAUUACGCCACUCGCAAAUAGGAUUGAAGCGAAUGAAGCAUACGUAUUUUUCGCAGCAUCUCUCUUCCCACAGCUGAAAAUAAAAAUUGAAGCGUUCAAUAAUGGCUUGUCGUCAAAAUUUUAACGGGGUCAAACAUGAAUAAAAGAUUGAAAGUUGAGAUAUUGAUGAGACGUAUGAGACAUUUCAGACUAGAGAAAUAUUUUUUAAUUUUCUUUCUAUACAUAUUAAAGGAGAAAUUCAUAAUUGUAACCUACCUAUGAAUGCGCUUAUCUUAGGCUUAAUUAGAAAUUUAGAAUCUUUUAUAUUCCUCAAAGAAAAAAAAGAGAAUAUUUUAUAUUACUAACUAAUUGUGAAAGACUCUCAUUUAUAAGAGGUUUUGAAUUCAAUGACGUAUAUAUACAGUGUAGUUUUCAUUCAUGUAUAAUGUAAUAGUUCCAUCUAUGGUUAUAAACAAAUCAAGCUGCUCGCGAAUUAUUCGGAGCUCGGCUCCAAAAAAGUUCGUUCAAAUUCGUUUAGAAAAGUUUGAUAGAUAAACAAACCAUUUUUUUUCAAAAAACCAACACCCAAAGGGUGAGGGGUUAGACAGACCCCCAACCUAUAUAUAAAACAUCAACCAGUGUCUCAUACAAAACGUUUUCUAAAAGUGACAACGCCCAACAGAAGUAAUAAGGAGAAACAAAAAUUGACCGAACAAAAACAUACAGAAACGUAACCCAAAAAUGGUUACAUCCACAAGAUAAAAGAAACGAAAUCAAAAAGGAAACAAGCCAAAACAAACUAACUAUCAACAUGGAAACUGAAUCUAAAAUUAGGAUAGCCAAGCGGAUCCAUCCUAACUAGAGCAAGAAACUACCGAGGAGCAGAAGAACAGUCAAAAGUAGUCAACGUCUGAACCUGAUGCCCUCUUUUCGCCAUAAAAUCAGCAGGUCAAUUUCCCUCACGGGGGAUGUGAAUGAAACGGAUUCGCCGAAGCUGAGUAAGCAGUCGGAUCCAAGCAGCAGUAUGCCGAAUACUAGCAUGACCGUGACGCCCAACAUACAUGAGCAAAACUUGAGCUUAGUAAUAUUCGGCUCGUUAGCUCGUGAACA
RNAcentral lists this long non-coding RNA (3469 nucleotides) under Salvia miltiorrhiza (redroot sage). RNAcentral describes it as "long non-coding RNA (SMIL_LNC008538)". The record is from RNAcentral. Lineage: Eukaryota; Viridiplantae; Streptophyta; Magnoliopsida; Lamiales; Lamiaceae.